GCCGCGGCGGCGGCGGCGGCGGCGCUCGGCGGGUGCCCGCGGGCCUGAGGGCGGCGGGAGCGGCGGGCCGGCUGGCGCCGCGCAGCCAUGGAGGUGUACAUCCCCUCCUUUCGCUACGAGGAGAGCGAGCUGGAGCGGGGCUACACGGUCUUCAAAAUAGAAGUGCUAAUGAGUGGAAGGAAACAUUUUGUGGAGAAGAGGUAUAGUGAAUUCCAUGCUCUCCAUAAAAAGCUCAAGAAGUGCAUAAGGACUCCAGAGAUUCCCUCAAAGCACGUGAGGAACUGGGUCCCAAAGGUCCUGGAGCAGAGGCGACAAGGCUUGGAGUUGUACUUGCAGACAGUCAUUUUAGAAAAUGAAGAGCUUCCUAAAAUAUUUCUUGAUUUCCUGAAUGUUCGACACGUACCUACCCUGCCAAAAGCAGAAAGCUGUGGCUCUUUUGAUGAAACAGAGUCUGAAGAAUCAAGCAAACUGUCCCACCAGCCUGUGCUGCUGUUCCUGAGGGAUCCCUAUGUCUUGCCUAAAGCCAACGGAUUGACCUCAUGGACUCUUAAUGAAGUUAAAGCCACGGUGACAGAGCAGAACAGUGGGAGCAGAGGUCCUGCAUCACUGAGGUCCACAACACGCAGUUUACACCACAGAGGAAAUGCAGAAUGAGCUUUCUAAAAUGUUGUCUCUGAUCAGUUUCCACUGUGAUGGAUUCCCUUGCAAAAAGCAGCCAGAGCUGUUCCGGCAGACAAAAAAUGACUUUCCAAACGUAGUAAUAGAAGGCAUCCUACAUGGAAUAUUUUAUCCUCAUUUACUGCCAAGGUAGAGGAGAUACGUGGCUAGAAGAAGCUGAAGCAAGUCUCCAAGUAAUGUUUAAUCGAAUCAGUACGAAGAAAAUUGUGAUGUGAUUAUUGUGCUCAAAAUCAAGAGGCACAACCUCGGAUUAAGUUCAAGCAUUACUUUUUUUUAAUCAAUGUCACUACUGUUGCUGCUUUAAAAAAAAAAAAGAUAUGGAAACAACCGUACAGAAGGUAUUUUAUACCUUGUAUAUAGACUCUCUGUAACUAUUUAACACUAAAAACUGAAAGUCAUACACUGAAUUACAUUACCCUUCGAAAAGAAUUAAAAGCUGUACUAAUAUUUUCUGUCAUUUCUACUCUAAAUUACACUAAACCUUUUUGCACCGCGAUUUUUCUCAGCACAUGGACCCAUUGCUGGCAGUGGAUGGAUUGAAAGUGCUGGCACGGAAGUGAGUGCAUGAGAAACUGAGGAAUUGUUCAUUUUUCUUAAGUUAUUUUCAAACUGCUCCUUAAUUUUUGGUUGGAGAAGAGCCAACGCAGGUAUAUGCAGCUGCCAUGAGAAAACAUGCUUCUGUGUUCUGAAAUACAAAGUUCUCUUUUAGAAAAUUGCCUAGACUUCAGUCACAAUGGGGAUACCAGGGGAUCUGGCAUGGCAUUUAUGCAUCUCAUUUGGUUAUGAUGUAUAAUUUGAUGAUGUAUGUCAAUAUGUGUUAUCAUCAUGAUGACGUAUAAUUUGCAUUCCUACUCUUUGAGUUACCUUGCAGACUGUAUUCUGUAUCUUAACAUUUUAUGAGUCACAGAGCAUACAACUCUGUGGUAAGCUAAAGCAAGAAUGUGAUUAAGUAGUAACACGGUAAAACUCAUAUAUAUACUUGUGCGUAUAUAUAUUCAGAUUUAACUGGAAAUUGUAUGUGUGCUACUGGAGAUUACAGAAUAAAUUACUAGAACGUGGAUGUACUGCUU
Molecule: RNA transcript, 1748 nt
Organism: Numida meleagris (helmeted guineafowl)
Lineage: Eukaryota; Metazoa; Chordata; Aves; Galliformes; Numididae
Gene: SNX24
Gene name: sorting nexin 24
Exons: 9
Source: RefSeq, a predicted model, not a curated record